Molecule: ribosomal RNA, 1249 nt
Filed under: metagenome
Description: bacterial LSU rRNA
Rfam family: Bacterial large subunit ribosomal RNA
Source: RNAcentral
UAUACGACCGUACCGCAAACCGACACUGGUGCGCGAGAUGAGUAUUCUAAGGCGCUUGAGAGAACUCAGGAGAAGGAACUCGGCAAAUUGACACCGUAACUUCGGAAGAAGGUGUGCCCUAUUAGUGUGUAGUGAACAACGAAGCAUGAAUGGGUUGCAAAAAAUCGGUGGCUGCGACUGUUUAUUAAAAACACAGCACUCUGCAAACACGAAAGUGGACGUAUAGGGUGUGACGCCUGCCCGGUGCUGGAAGAUUAAAUGAUGGGGUGCAAGCUCUUGAUUGAAGUCCCAGUAAACGGCGGCCGUAACGAUAACGGUCCUAAGGUAGCGAAAUUCCUUGUCGGGUAAGUUCCGACCUGCACGAAUGGCGUAACGAUGGCCACACUGUCUCCUCCUGAGACUCAGCGAAGUUGAAAUGUUUGUGAUGAUGCAAUCUCCCCGCGGAAAGACGGAAAGACCCCAUGAACCUUUACUGUAGCUUUGUAUUGGACUUUGAACAGAUCUGUGUAGGAUAGGUGGGAGGCUUUGAAGCAGGGUCGCUAGAUCUUGUGGAGCCAACGUUGAAAUACCACCCUGGUGUGUUUGAGGUUCUAACCUAGGUCCAUUAUCUGGAUCGGGGACAGUGCAUGGUAGGCAGUUUGACUGGGGCGGUCUCCUCCCAAAGCGUAACGGAGGAGUUCGAAGGUACGCUAGUUACGGUCGGACAUCGUGACGAUAGUGCAAUGGCAUAAGCGUGCUUAACUGCGAGACUGACAAGUCGAGCAGAUGCGAAAGCAGGACAUAGUGAUCCGGUGGUUCUGUAUGGAAGGGCCAUCGCUCAACGGAUAAAAGGUACUCUGGGGAUAACAGGCUGAUACCGCCCAAGAGUUCAUAUCGACGGCGGUGUUUGGCACCUCGAUGUCGGCUCAUCUCAUCCUGGGGCUGUAGCCGGUCCCAAGGGUAUGGCUGUUCGCCAUUUAAAGAGGUACGUGAGCUGGGUUUAAAACGUCGUGAGACAGUUUGGUCCCUAUCUUCCGUGGGCGCUGCAGAUUUGAGGAAGCCUGCUCCUAGUACGAGAGGACCGGAGUGGACACACCUCUGGUGUAUCGGUUGUCACGCCAGUGGCAUUGCCGAGUAGCUAAGUGUGGAAGAGAUAACCGCUGAAAGCAUCUAAGCGGGAAACUCGUUUCAAGAUGAGAUCUGCCGGGGCCUUGAGCCCCCUAAAGAGUCGUUCAAGACCAGGACGUUGAUAGGUCAGGUGUGGAAGUGA